RNAcentral lists this ribosomal RNA (447 nucleotides) under uncultured bacterium. RNAcentral describes it as "bacterial SSU rRNA". It matches the Rfam family "Bacterial small subunit ribosomal RNA", at positions 355 to 825 of the family's 1533-position model. The record is from RNAcentral.
UCGGGAAUUUUGGGCAAUGGGCGAAAGCCUGACCCAGCAACGCCGCGUGAAGGAUGAAGUAUUUCGGUAUGUAAACUUCGAAAGAAUAGGAAGAAUAAAUGACGGUACUAUUUAUAAGGUCCGGCUAACUACGUGCCAGCAGCCGCGGUAAUACGUAGGGACCAAGCGUUGUUCGGAUUUACUGGGCGUAAAGGGCGCGUAGGCGGCAAUUCAAGUCAUCUGUGAAAUCUCCGGGCUUAACUCGGAACGGUCAGAUGAUACUGCUUUGCUAGAGUGCAGAAGGGGCAAUCGGAAUUCUUGGUGUAGCGGUGAAAUGCGUAGAUAUCUGGAGGAAUACCGAUGGCGAAGGCAGCCUUCUGGCCUAACACUGACGCUGAGGUGCGAAAGCAUGGGGAGCAAACAGGAUUAGAUACCCCCGUAGUCCCUGAGCGGGCUGGCAAGGCGCAU